Long non-coding RNA from Camelus dromedarius (Arabian camel), 445 nucleotides. RefSeq lists it as uncharacterized. Lineage: Eukaryota; Metazoa; Chordata; Mammalia; Artiodactyla; Camelidae. The record is from RefSeq and is a predicted model, not a curated record. The transcript is spliced from 3 exons.
GAGCGCUGCGCGACGGGGAGCUGCUUUUCUUCCCUUCUUUCUUUCUGCCUUGGUGCUAGCUCCUGGAAUGCAUUCCCUGCCCUUGUGCUCCCUUAGGGAGACCAUGUCCUCACCCCUCAUCUCUCAACGGGAUAUGCUGCUUGCAGAGGGCAGCCAGCCAAGCUCUAAGGAGAAGGACUCUUCAUGAUCAGGAGGACACCAGCCAUCAUGUCAUGAUGACACUGAAGCAGCUUGUGAAGAGAAACCUGAGGACUCUUCCCCACAGCACGAGAUCACUGCCAAUUGGGAACCACCACCAUCAAGACGACGCUGGCACCUCUCGAGGCAAGUGUAAUAAUACAAGGAGAGGGAGACACCCUAUCAAUAACCUGAGAGCAUGGAGUCCCGGGAAAGCAACCAAAUUAGUCCCAGGCAUCACUAAGAGCAUCACUGAACUGUGUCACAG